This 593-nucleotide ribosomal RNA is filed under the name Actinomycetes bacterium. RNAcentral describes it as "bacterial SSU rRNA". It matches the Rfam family "Bacterial small subunit ribosomal RNA", at positions 80 to 685 of the family's 1533-position model. Lineage: Bacteria; Bacillati; Actinomycetota; Actinomycetes. The record is from RNAcentral.
UUGCUUGGUGGAUCAGUGGCGAACGGGUGAGUAACACGUGAGCAACCUGCCCUGGACUCUGGGAUAAGCGCUGGAAACGGCGUCUAAUACUGGAUAUGAGCUCUCAUCGCAUGGUGGGGGUUGGAAAGAUUUUUCGGUUUGGGAUGGGCUCGCGGCCUAUCAGCUUGUUGGUGAGGUAAUGGCUCACCAAGGCGUCGACGGGUAGCCGGCCUGAGAGGGUGACCGGCCACACUGGGACUGAGACACGGCCCAGACUCCUACGGGAGGCAGCAGUGGGGAAUAUUGCACAAUGGGCGCAAGCCUGAUGCAGCAACGCCGCGUGAGGGAUGACGGCCUUCGGGUUGUAAACCUCUUUUGGUAGGGAAGAAGCCUUCGGGUGACGGUACCUGCAGAAAAAGCGCCGGCUAACUACGUGCCAGCAGCCGCGGUAAUACGUAGGGCGCAAGCGUUAUCCGGAAUUAUUGGGCGUAAAGAGCUCGUAGGCGGUCUGUCGCGUCUGCUGUGAAAUUCCGAGGCUCAACCUCGGGCUUGCAGUGGGUACGGGCAGACUAGAGUGCGGUAGGGGAGAUUGGAAUUCCUGGUGUAGCGGUGGA